RNAcentral lists this ribosomal RNA (509 nucleotides) under uncultured bacterium. RNAcentral's name for it is "bacterial SSU rRNA". It matches the Rfam family "Bacterial small subunit ribosomal RNA", at positions 28 to 529 of the family's 1533-position model. The record is from RNAcentral.
AAUGAACGCUGGCGGCGUGCCUAACACAUGCAAGUCGGAUGUGCCGCAAGGUGCAUGGCAGACGGGUGAGUAACGCGUGGGGAACCUACCUCUUCGUGGGGAAUAACGAUCCGAAAGGAUUGGUAAUACCGCAUGAGACCGACGGCUGGGAUGCUGUCGGUGAAAGCUGGGGACCGGAAACGGCCUGGCGCGAGGAGAGGGUCCUGCGUCUGAUUAGCUAGUUGGUGGGGUAACGGCCUACCAAGGCAUCGAUCAGUAGCCGGCCUGAGAGGGUGAUCGGCCACACUGGAACUGAGACACGGUCCAGACUCCUACGGGAGGCAGCAGUGGGGAAUUUUGCGCAAUGGACGAAAGUCUGACGCAGCAACGCCGCGUGGGUGAUGAAGGUCUUCGGAUUGUAAAACCCUGUCGUCGGGGACGAAGGUAGGAGGGUUAAUAGCCCUUUUGCUUGACGGUACCCGGAGAGGAAGCCCCGGCUAACUCUGUGCCAGCAGCCGCGGUAAAGUCGU